This 22-nucleotide non-coding RNA is filed under the name Arabidopsis thaliana (thale cress). The record is from RNAcentral. Lineage: Eukaryota; Viridiplantae; Streptophyta; Magnoliopsida; Brassicales; Brassicaceae.
UGUUUGUCGUUUAUGCACGUGC